This is an RNA transcript of Heteronotia binoei (common prickly gecko), 1270 nucleotides long. It is a transcript of the gene named succinate dehydrogenase complex assembly factor 1, with no coding region annotated. The record is from RefSeq and is a predicted model, not a curated record. The transcript is spliced from 2 exons. Lineage: Eukaryota; Metazoa; Chordata; Lepidosauria; Squamata; Gekkonidae.
UUCGGCGCCUCCUCUCGCGCGCCAAAGGUGAGCGGAGCGCGGGCGGAGAAGGGGGCGCUCCCGCCGGGCCUCGCUUGGGGGGUAGGGGCCGGCCUUGGGUCCUCCCCGUCCAGCAACCCACCCCGAGCGAUGCAGGGGAGGGCGCGGGCGGCACGGAUGCCCCUUGGCACUCACUUCGGGGGCUUCAGCUCUCAAGCAUUUGAUGUUUAUUCUACAUGGCUCUUACGUUAAGAGUAUAGACACCGUUUGUUAGCCUAAGUCUCAGGGCACGAGACAUUACCUCCAUUCUGUUGCAGCCUCUCUCGGUUUGGGGGCCUUCCCGGUGACCGGAGAGAGGCCGGACGCACGCAGCGCUUCAUGGCCCGCCACAGCAAGCUCCAGCUGCAAGUCCUGAGCCUGUACCGAAACUUCCUCCGAGCCGCCAAAGACAAGCCGGGCUUCCUGCCCCGGAUACGGGCCGAGUUCCGGAAACAUGCCCAGAUCCCCCGGGCCGAUGUCAUGCGUAUAGAGUACCUCCUCCGGCGUGGACAGAGGCAGCUGGAGCAGCUCAGAGACGUCCACACCAAGCAGAUGGGGGUCUUUGUCAAAACGAAAUCAGAGGAGCAGUGACUCAGAGACAGAACCCUAUUGAAGGGGGAUAUAACAGCUCCUCCCGAUUUUAGAGUUUUUCCAGCCGGCUAAUUUCCGAGAGAUUCUUCAAGGCGAGGGCCUGACUCACUGUGGAUUACCAAAUGCUGCUUUCCUUCGGAGCGGAGGCUGCCACGAAACAGGUGCCAGCCGUCAUCUCUAGAAGACUAAGGAACACGCUCCAGAUUUAACGCUGUUUUUUAAAAACCAGUGGGAUUGCUUAGACUCUCUUGAGGCUGCUUGAGGUGGGUGCUGUAAAUUCUGUUCUGAGAUCCCAUUUAAAGCUGUGGUUUUCAGUAGGAAGAAUGUCGCUGCGUCCAUAUUUGUCUGGAGCUGUAGAGGUUUCCGAAGGGCCAGGUACAGUUCCUGUGAACCUGAGAGCACACAGUUGCCAACACGUUGUGUUUGAAGGCAAAGUUCUUUGAAAAGUGGAAGCUGUUAAUUUGCUGUCAGUGGGAGAGAAAAUGGCAGAGCGAGGAACAGGAAGAAGCAGCAGUCCUGUUUAAACCACAGCCCUCUUUUGCACACUCGUCUGUGUGCAAAAACUCUUUGCGGUUUGAACAAUCCAGGGGAGCAUCACUUUACACAGUCCAUGUUUGUUGGUGUGAAUGUAUCUUGGAAUAAAGGGAUCUUUUCAUUGUAA